CAGCGAUAACAGGAGCGGUGGUCUGCUCAACAUUGGAACAACCCUGCUGCUGGAACUUUAUGACGAUUUUAAAGGUGUCAUCACCACGAAGGGCAAUACUGUCGCAAUUAACAAGAUGACUGAUGUGAAUCUGUGACUUGGAGAUGUCUUGAAUUAGACAUAAAUACGAACAAUGCAUUGUCAGCGCAGGACUUUGACCAACUUAAUCUUUGGUGUUCUCUUCGUAAAUGUUAUCAAACUUUCAUCCCCUCUACAAGUUUCUUCAGUGGUCUGUAACUGCAGCAGCAUUACUUCAUGUUAUGGACAUUGUGUCACAUCCCAAGAAAUAGGUGAAUUAGAUUGCUUUGGUAAACGUAUAAACCCAAGAAUCAAAUGGAAAUGUGUUUGGACAAAUGGAAAACUCACUGUCAACAAAAUGUACAGAUACACACUGGUUAUAGAACAAAAAAAAUACUGCCAAAUAUAUCCAAACAUAUCAGGAACAUCGAUGGACCUUCGAAUCGUAAACGAACGUUACAACAUCACAGCUCGUUUGUUUGACGAGAGUUAUCCGCACAGCUGCAAAGAGACUGUUUUCAGAGGUUUUCCUCCAGAAUUGGUUCGAUGUGGCCCCCCAUUAAGUGUAGACUUUAAACGCCAUUCAAGACAGCUGGACAUCUUGCCAUCCUGGGGAAUGGAGAAGAGGUAUAUCCAGUCUUACACAGUGAGAUACAAAGAACUGAAGGGACCGUCGUGGGCAGAGCCAACAGUGUAUUCACAGGAUAUAAAUAAAUUAACUGUGAGAAAUCUUAGCUCUUCGAUGACAUAUGAGGUGCAGCUUCGGGUUCUGGAGAACCAAAGAUGCACCCAGGUGCCCUGGAGCAAGAGUUUCCUUGUCCAACCAGAACUUACAGAUGAGCCUGUCAUUAAGAUGGUUAAAGAUAUUUCAAAAAUGAAAGGGAAGAGAUUGGUGACCAUCAAAUGGAAGUUUGCAGCCAGUGAAGUAUCUGAAGGCUACAGGGUGACUGUGAAGAAGUCAGGAGGGGAGACCACUGAGACCUUUAACACAAGCCACCCCUUACUCACGCUGAUCCUGUCUCACUCAGCCUACCAAUUUGAGAUAAUUGCUAUCAGCAAGGUUGGAACUUCGCCUGCUGCACAAAGGACUAUACCUCCAUUUUACGACAAAGGCUUAAACGGGAAGCUGAAGGUGACAUUUAAUGGCAAUACGUCCUUUAAUGUCUCAUGGGUCGAUGACCUAAUCAAAAACUACUCCUGCUUCGCAGUGGAGUGGUGGGGGAAUAAAGAGAAAGCUGCUCACAAAUCAUUUUAUGAGGAUGAGAAGAUAUAUAAAGUCAUACUAUUGGAUGAGCCAUUGCAGCAGUAUACAAGGUAUACCUUCACCCUGCACACAAGGCUAGACAAAGAUGUCUGCAACCUAAAAUCCAUCAACAACAGUGAGAGCACCUACGGGAGCAUUCAAGCCUACUUCAAAGAAGGAAUUCCCAUCAGUGCUCCAGGGAACAUCAGCAGCAAUGUUACCCAGAGUUCCAUGGUGCUAGAGUGGAUAGCUGUCCCUGAGGAGGACACCAGAGGUUUUCUUCUUGGCUACAUUCUCUACUACAGAGAGAAUCCACAGGAUGGGACAGAAACUGAGACAAACAUUACUAUAGAUGCUGGUUCAAUGAGCUACGAGUUGGUUGACCUGAAGAGCAGCACUGUGUACAAGGUCCAGUUGUCUGCCUUCACUGGUGCAGGAAUGGGACAUACUUUACUGCAAAUGGUGUGAUAGCAGGGGUUGUUGCUGGAGUACCUAUACUCUUACUUUUGGUUCAUCUUUCUUCUAUGUUGUUUAAAAGGGCAAAGAAACUACCUUGGCCAAUUAUCCCUAAUCCUGAUAACAGCAAUGCCAUCCAGAAAUUAGAUGGGGUCUGUGAGCUGAAACUCCUGGACCCCAAUAACAGCCAGACGUUAGAAGAAGAGGAGGGAGACUCUAAAAGUCUGUGCAUCAUUGAUAGAAAUGAAGAAAUAUCUUCCAUUAGCAACAUCUACAGCAACAAUGACAUGUGUCCACAGUUGAACACAGACCAAACGGGGGCCCAAGGGCCUUCUACAUCCACCACAGACUCCCCCAAGCCAAGUUCAGUAGAUCUUCAAACUGACACCGCCACUGCCUGUAAAGCAGCAGGUCCCACUUCCGACAUGGAUGCACGUACUAGCACAGACAUGACACAGACCGCCAUGGCUCCAAACAGCACGGUGGCCCACAAGUGCCCCCCCUUGGCCUUUCUGAGCGAUUACACCACCAUGGAACUCUUCCAACAGACCAUGCCUCAGGGCAUUUCUGCCACAUGUUCAUCAUUGACUCAGGGUCCAUCGAGCCAGUCAACAGACACAGACUCAACUCUGACUCCACUAGAGUUGCAUUAUAUCUGCCCGUCCCUCAGUCAAACUGCCAUCCAACCAUCCCACGGCAGCGCCAGUGAAACUCAGAACGCAGAGGAAUGUUACACAGUCCUUUGAUUUUUACCAGUCAUUCAAAGUAGUUGAUGUAAAACUAUUAUAAACUGUAUGUAAAGAACCAUCUCACUACAUCCUAUUAUAAACUGUAUGUAAAGAAACAUCUCACUGCAUCCUAUUAUAAACUGUAUGUAAAGAACCGUCUCACUGCAUCCUAUUAUAAACUGUAUGUAAAGAACCAUCUCACUGCAUCCUAUUAUAAACUGUAUGUAAAGAACCAUCUCACUGCAUCCUAUUAUAAACUGUAUGUAAAGAACCAUCUCACUGCAUCCUAUUAUAAACUGUAUGUAAAGA
This is a long non-coding RNA of Esox lucius (northern pike), 2793 nucleotides long. Lineage: Eukaryota; Metazoa; Chordata; Actinopteri; Esociformes; Esocidae. The record is from Ensembl.